CAGCCCGCUGUCACAGGUGAUUGGGAGGGGGGAGGACAGGCACAGCAGCCGGCAGCUAGUGGCCAUCCUCACCUCCUAUACAGUAAGAUUGAAUGUAUUUUCUAUAUGGAGAAUAUCACUUACUGCAACCUCACAACACACAGUCCAGGACCCUAUAUGAGAUACAUAUGAGGCCAUCCCUGUGAAAGUGCAAAGACAGGUGAAAGGAAAUGGGAAGAUGUGAGAUUAUAAUGAGACACUUAUACUGUAUUAGAGCGGCAUGCAGAGCGCGGAGUAACUCAAGGCGGGAGAAGCGCCCGUGCUUCAUGGCAGUAAAAUGGAAAGGAAGAGAAGAGCGUAUUCAGGCCGCGUGAGGGAUCAAGUUUGGGUCUCAGAUCUCCGUAUUCUAUGACUUGUCAAGGUCUAAGUGAUCAGGAUGCGACCCAGCGUUCGUCUGGGAAUACGCAAUCACAGCAACAAGAGACGACGGAGGAAGCAGCUUCCUAGUGUUCUUAUUUACUGAGAUAAAUCAUUUCAUGAA
Long non-coding RNA from Pseudophryne corroboree (corroboree frog), 520 nucleotides. RefSeq lists it as uncharacterized. The transcript has 3 exons. NCBI's taxonomy places the organism in Eukaryota, Metazoa, Chordata, Amphibia, Anura, Myobatrachidae. The record is from RefSeq and is a predicted model, not a curated record.